Molecule: long non-coding RNA, 751 nt
Organism: Ailuropoda melanoleuca (giant panda)
Lineage: Eukaryota; Metazoa; Chordata; Mammalia; Carnivora; Ursidae
Exons: 4
Source: RefSeq, a predicted model, not a curated record
CAGAGUCCCGAGCACUUCAGCCUCCUUCCUGGAAGGUUCUCCAAGAUUGAUUUCGUGUGGUGCACAAACUGCCAGGAGUGGAGCAAACAUGAGUUGGCUUCUAAGCAACACUGUUUGCUUGGGCCCUUUGCACAACUGGACCAUGUGCAUGACGGGGCCAUUUGCACAACUGGGCUCUUUGCAUGGCUGUGUACCUAGCGGUGCUUCUUCUCUGUUUUGGGUCAUGGCCGAGGGUCUGCUCUUGGAGACAGCCCUGAGUUCCUACCUAAUCUCUAAUGUCUACUGGCGGCUUGACUCAACUUCUCUGCAUGGCAGUUAGAAGCACGCUUCCUUUCCACGACUGGCUGGGGAUUACAUGAGAUAAUGUAUGCUUAGCCCACAGUUCCAGACACAGCUCUGUUUAAGGCUUGUCUGACUUCUGUUCCAACAUGCUUGUGACGGGGACCUUGUCCAGAGGAACUGGCUUACCGUCUGCUGGGGAUCCCUCCUGGGCCCGGAGCUGAGCAAGUGUUGGCUGGAGCAGGGAGCAGGGAGAGAGAGGAAAGGAAUGUCUUCAAUCUCAGCUUCGUGGAGAAUGGCAUUUCCACAUUUUCUGGAUGUGAUCCAACUCUCUGAACUUGGAAACUGGAGCCACUCAGCUUGUCAAAUUUCCCUAUGCUCUUACAAUUGGGAAUAAUAGUUUUUUUUUUUUUAAAGAUUUUAUUUAUUUAUUUGACAGAGAUAAAGACAGCCAGACAGAGAGGGAACACAA